GAUGAACGCUGGCGGCGUGCCUAAUACAUGCAAGUCGAGCGAACAGACGAGGAGCUUGCUCCUUUGACGUUAGCGGCGGACGGGUGAGUAACACGUAGGUAACCUACCUAUAAGACUGGGAUAACUUCGGGAAACCGGAGCUAAUACCGGAUAAUAUUUCGAACCGCAUGGUUCGAUAGUGAAAGAUGGCUUUGCUAUCACUUAUAGAUGGACCUGCGCCGUAUUAGCUAGUUGGUAAGGUAACGGCUUACCAAGGCAACGAUACGUAGCCGACCUGAGAGGGUGAUCGGCCACACUGGAACUGAGACACGGUCCAGACUCCUACGGGAGGCAGCAGUAGGGAAUCUUCCGCAGUGGGCGAAAGCCUGACGGAGCAACGCCGCGUGAGUGAUGAAGGUCUUCUGAUCGUAAAACUCUGUUAUUAGGGAAGAACAAACGUGUAAGUAACUGUGCACGUCUUGACGGUACCUAAUCAGAAAGCCACGGCUAACUACGUG
This 497-nucleotide ribosomal RNA is filed under the name uncultured bacterium. RNAcentral's name for it is "partial 16S ribosomal RNA". It matches the Rfam family "Bacterial small subunit ribosomal RNA", at positions 28 to 507 of the family's 1533-position model. The record is from RNAcentral.